UGACAAUGACAGUUAAAUAAGCUAUGUACAGAAUAAUGGAUAAAUGCUAAAAGUUGUUCAAUCAAACUUCCAAAGUGAAUAAUAAUGCUGUCUUUGCUUCAAUUUCUGGUCUAUUUACAGGUUGUUGCUACCGAAUACUGACAGAAAAAGAUGUCAAGUAUUGGUCAACUCAUCAGGCGCGGUGCAGUUAGAUUGCAGAUCAGAAUGAUUCGGUAAUGACGCCAACCAGGAAUCAACCUGUAUUUUGGAAGCACUUGAGCAUUCAUAUCUCAGCCCAUGACGAGUUGAAAUAAAAAAGCAAUAUCGAGUAUCACCGUUGUCUCGUGUCAGACAAGGCAUGGCUCCAACUUCAACAACAUCAGAUAGAAGAGUUGAGUCUUGAGGACUCAGAUCUAUGGAUGAUGAAUACAAGAAAAUACCCGAUCCCUGAAGAACAAGAAAUUUAGGAAGCCAGUCAUCAACUUCAGUGUCAUCAUCGAUUGGAAGAGGUUCGCCUGGUAAAGCCUCCCAUCUCGUUCUCAGAUACAAAUAACCCGACAUGCGAGCAGACUGCAGUAUUUCGUCAAUAUGUUCUAAUUGAGCUUUUAAAUGAGCUUCUCUUUCUUCCAAAGCAGCAAUUUCUGACCGAAGAGAUUCUACUUCUACAGCAGUUAGAACUACCUUUUUCUGGUCAUCUGUACCAGAUAUCCAAGGUAGCUUUCUGGGGCUAAACAUAUUCAACAUUGACACAGAACUUCUCAAUUUUGUUCAAGUCAAUCUAUAAAUAGAUCAACUAUUGAAGCUUGAAAACAAUCUCUCAGAAAAAUUCUAGUGCUCGAGGUACACCACCAUGAAGUUAAUAUUUUCCAGCAAACCCACAAAUCGGUGACUUUAUAAUUAAUUAGGCGAAACGAAGAUACGAAAACGAAGACGAAG
RNAcentral lists this unclassified non-coding RNA (915 nucleotides) under Hevea brasiliensis (rubber tree). Lineage: Eukaryota; Viridiplantae; Streptophyta; Magnoliopsida; Malpighiales; Euphorbiaceae. The record is from RNAcentral.